Octodon degus (degu) is the source of this 507-nucleotide long non-coding RNA. RefSeq lists it as uncharacterized. The transcript is spliced from 3 exons. The record is from RefSeq and is a predicted model, not a curated record. NCBI's taxonomy places the organism in Eukaryota, Metazoa, Chordata, Mammalia, Rodentia, Octodontidae.
ACCCGAGGCAGGCAUCACCCAGGAAGAACCCCAGACUCGAGAUGAUGGUGAUGAGGAGGGGCUGCUGACGCAUAGCGAGGAAGAGCUGGAGCACAGCCAGGACACAGAUGCAGAGGAUGGGGCCUUGCAGUAAGCAGCCUGACAGGAGCAUUGGCCACCAGCAGGAGAAGGGCAUCACUGUCCAAGGCCUCAUACCAGGCACCCACUCCCUGGAUGCCAACUUGUAGCGGGUACCAGAGGAAAGCUGGCAACAGGCACUCCUGGCCUCCCCAUGCAUCCCAGGCUGGUACCUCGUCUUCUGCAGGUGGAGUUAUUGGCUACCCUUCCCCCCAUGCACCCUCCCUGUCUGCACUGUCCAGGCCAGAGGGCAGAGCACAGGGGGUUCCUCACACUCUGCCUCCCCUCCCCAGGACAUUCCUAGGCUUGGGGGUUUUCUAUAGGUUUGGAUGGGUGGGUGGUAAAGGAUGGGGACCUUGACAAUAAAGAGAUUGGAUCUAGUCUGCUCUG